AACGAACGCUGGCGGCAUGCCUAACACAUGCAAGUCGAACGAGACCUUCGGGUCUAGUGGCGCACGGGUGCGUAACGCGUGGGAUCCUGCCCUUAGGUUCGGAAUAACUCCCCGAAAGGGGUGCUAAUACCGGAUAAUGUCUUCGGACCAAAGAUUUAUCGCCUUUGGAUGGGCCCGCGUUGGAUUAGCUAGUUGGUAGGGUAAAAGCCUACCAAGGCGACGAUCCAUAGCUGGUCUGAGAGGAUGAUCAGCCACACUGGGACUGAGACACGGCCCAGACUCCUACGGGAAGCAGCAGUGGGGAAUAUUGGACAAUGGGCGAAAGCCUGAUUCAGCAAUGCCGCGUGAGUGAUGAAGGCCUUAGGGUUGUAAAGCUCUUUUACCCGGGAUGAUAAUGACAGUACCGGGAGAAUAAGCUCCGGCUAACUCCGUG
RNAcentral lists this ribosomal RNA (433 nucleotides) under uncultured bacterium. RNAcentral's name for it is "partial 16S ribosomal RNA". It matches the Rfam family "Bacterial small subunit ribosomal RNA", at positions 29 to 507 of the family's 1533-position model. The record is from RNAcentral.